This 73-nucleotide transfer RNA is filed under the name Microcaldota archaeon. Its description in RNAcentral is "tRNA-Pro". It matches the Rfam family "tRNA". Rfam says of the family: Transfer RNA (tRNA) molecules are approximately 80 nucleotides in length. Lineage: Archaea; Nanobdellati; Microcaldota. The record is from RNAcentral.
GGGGCUGUAGUCUAACUUGGCAGGAUUCGAGCUUCGGGUGCUCGUGGUCUGGGUUCAAAUCCCAGCAGCCCCA